UACGUAGGGUGCAAGCGUUAAUCGGAAUUACUGGGCGUAAAGCGCGCGCAGGCGGUUGUGUAAGACAGAUGUGAAAUCCCCGGGCUCAACCUGGGAACUGCAUUUGUGACUGCACAGCUGGAGUGCGGCAGAGGGGGAUGGAAUUCCGCGUGUAGCAGUGAAAUGCGUAGAUAUGCGGAGGAACACCGAUGGCGAAGGCAAUCCCCUGGGCCUGCACUGACGCUCAUGCACGAAAGCGUGGGGAGCAAACAGG
RNAcentral lists this ribosomal RNA (253 nucleotides) under uncultured bacterium. RNAcentral's name for it is "partial 16S ribosomal RNA". It matches the Rfam family "Bacterial small subunit ribosomal RNA", at positions 524 to 776 of the family's 1533-position model. The record is from RNAcentral.